UGGUCACACGGGCACUAGCGUACCUUAGUGCGAGGCACACUAAUCAAGCAUGCACGCAUGCGAGGCGCGUGUAUAAUAAUGCAUUCGCAUUCUGACUUCGCUAGGCAUGCAUGCAUGAUGAGGGAGCUCAUGGAUGCUAGGAGUAUGCUAGCAUAAGGACUACCUCUGCACACCUUUAGUGUGCAAGACAGCCCCUGGGCAUGCCCCGAGCACACAAGAAUUUAUGCUCCACUGAGCGCUCAACGUGCAGAUGAGCAUGCGCACAUGUGCACUGUGUCAUGCAAUGGAGACCAAGAAGCAUCUGCAUCACCUUUGCACAUGCGGACAUG
This 329-nucleotide long non-coding RNA is filed under the name Carica papaya (papaya). RNAcentral's name for it is "long non-coding RNA (CPAP_LNC013116)". The record is from RNAcentral. Lineage: Eukaryota; Viridiplantae; Streptophyta; Magnoliopsida; Brassicales; Caricaceae.